CAAGGGAGGAAGCAGUUGCCCGCUUCCAUUUAUUUAUUUUUAAUUAUUGAGCUUGUCCAUAACCUAACAAGCUCAGGGAACCUUCCCUUUGAAGUGGCUUGGAGAUUUUGAAUGCAGUUUCCUCCCACAAUCCGGGAGCAGCUCCCAGAGUUGUGGUGAUGAGUGGACAAGAACUUCUGGGGAGGAUAUUUUACCUGCAUCCUCAUCGGUGCCUGACAAGGAUGAGAGAAGCUUGGCCUUCUGCUGCUGCAGCAUGACAAACCACUGCACACCACCACCUCUUAUGCCCCCGGCUCAGCAGAAAGAUAAGGGCCUCUCCAGGGCUUUUGCUGCCUCCACCACCGUGGGUCAACAUCCAGGAAGGAAGACGUUUCUAAGGAAACCACGGAGGCUUUCCACCAAGGUGGUUGCAUGAAAGCGCUGAACUGGUGAGAGUGACAAAAAGCAGUUCAUUGGAUAAUGUAGAAAAAGGGCAUGGACAAAGCUUUACCUGAUUGUCUGGAGCCAGCAUAGAAAGGCAUAACUUUGGGCUUCUUAAGAUCUACAGAUGGAAACCUCCUGGCAGCGUGUGCAGAAACGAUCAGGUCCACAAGGACAACACGGGACAAAUCAAUCAUACAAGAUGGAUGGGGCCAUUGGGUGACGCUUGGGUGAAAACCGCUUCCAGAUUUCACACCAGCUUCGCUUUUGUGCUCCGGCUGAAAACACAGCUUUAUUGCAUGAGCAUAAGUAAUACAGGAAGGCACUUACCACUCCAUUUUGUGCAGCUUUUGUUUGUGAUAGUCUUAAUUUACUGCUGAAGUGAAUCCGAGACUGAUAAUUUUUAUGAUUUUUUACCGAGAAAAGACAUUAAGCUACUUACUUUGGCUGCACUUCCUACGCUGCAGAAAUUAUUUAUCCAAGCACAGCGGCAAAGUGGGUCAGGGGAGGAAUAAUAAUAAUAAUAAUAAAAGAAACCGCCCACAAAAAUCUUGAAUCCCUUGCAGAAGUUGGGUUAAGGCUCAAG
Molecule: long non-coding RNA, 1006 nt
Organism: Gallus gallus (chicken)
Lineage: Eukaryota; Metazoa; Chordata; Aves; Galliformes; Phasianidae
Source: Ensembl